AUUGAACGCUGGCGGCAUGCUUUACACAUGCAAGUCGAACGGUAACAGGUUAAGCUGACGAGUGGCGAACGGGUGAGUAAUGCAUCGGAACGUGCCCGGUCGUGGGGGAUAACGCAGCGAAAGCUGCGCUAAUACCGCAUACGAUCUGAGGAUGAAAGCGGGGGACCGGAAGGCCUCGCGCGAUCGGAGCGGCCGAUGUGAGAGUAGGGAGGUGGUGGGGUAAAGGCGCACCAAGCCGACGAGCUGUAGCCGGUCUGGGAGGACGACCAGCCACACUGGGACUGAGACACGGCCCAGACUCCUACGGGAGGCAGCAGUGGGGAAUUUUGGACAAUGGGCGCCAGCCUGAUCCAGCAAUGCCGCGUGCAGGAAGAAGGCCUUCGGGGUGUAAACUGCUUUUGUACGGAGCGAAAAGGCGCGCUCUAAUACAGGGGGCUCAUGACGGUACCGUAAGAAUAAGCACCGGCUAACUACGUGCCAGCAGCCGCGGUAA
Molecule: ribosomal RNA, 493 nt
Filed under: uncultured bacterium
Lineage: Bacteria
Description: partial 16S ribosomal RNA
Rfam family: Bacterial small subunit ribosomal RNA
Source: RNAcentral